CGUAACAAGGUCUCCGUAGGUGAACCUGCGGAGGGAUCAUUACACAAAUAUGAAGGCGGGCUGGAACCUCUCGGGGUUACAGCCUUGCUGAAUUAUUCACCCUUGUCUUUUGCGUACUUCUUGUUUCCUUGGUGGGUUCGCCCACCACUAGGACAAACAUAAACCUUUUGUAAUUGCAAUCAGCGUCAGUAACAAAUUAAUAAUUACAACUUUCAACAACGGAUCUCUUGGUUCUGGCAUCGAUGAAGAACGCAGCGAAAUGCGAUAAGUAGUGUGAAUUGCAGAAUUCAGUGAAUCAUCGAAUCUUUGAACGCACAUUGCGCACUUUGGUAUUCCAAAGGGCAUGCCUGUUCGAGCGUCAUUUGUACCCUCAAGCUUUGCUUGGUGUUGGGCGUCUUGUCUCUAGCUUUGCUGGAGACUCGCCUUAAAGUAAUUGGCAGCCGGCCUACUGGUUUCGGAGCGCAGCACAAGUCGCACUCUCUAUCAGCAAAGGUCUAGCAUCCAUUAAGCCUUUUUUUCAACUUUUGACCUCGGAUCAGGUAGGGAUACCCGCUGAACUUAAGCAUAUCA
RNAcentral lists this ribosomal RNA (570 nucleotides) under uncultured fungus. RNAcentral's name for it is "eukaryotic LSU rRNA". The stretch from base 208 to 361 matches the Rfam family "5.8S ribosomal RNA". The record is from RNAcentral. Lineage: Eukaryota; Fungi.